GAUGAACGCUGGCGGCGUGCCUAAUACAUGCAAGUCGAACGAGUUCUGAUUAUUGAAAGGUGCUUGCAUCUUGAUUUAAUUUUGAACGAGUGGCGGACGGGUGAGUAACACGUGGGUAACCUGCCCUUAAGUGGGGGAUAACAUUUGGAAACAGAUGCUAAUACCGCAUAAAUCCAAAAACCGCAUGGUUCUUGGCUGAAAGAUGGCGUAAGCUAUCGCUUUUGGAUGGACCCGCGGCGUAUUAGCUAGUUGGUGAGGUAACGGCUCACCAAGGCAAUGAUACGUAGCCGAACUGAGAGGUUGAUCGGCCACAUUGGGACUGAGACACGGCCCAGACUCCUACGGGAGGCAGCAGUAGGGAGUCUUCCACAAUGGACGCAAGUCUGAUGGAGCAACGCCGCGUGAGUGAAGAAGGCUUUCGGGUCGUAAAACUCUGUUGUUGGAGAAGAAUGGUCGGCAGAGUAACUGUUGUCGGCGUGACGGUAUCCAACCAGAAAGCCACGGCUAACUACGUGCCAGCAGCCGCGGUAAUACGUAGGUGGCAAGCGUUAUCCGGAUUUAUUGGGCGUAAAGCGAGCGCAGGCGGUUUUUUAAGUCUGAUGUGAAAGCCCUCGGCUUAACCGAGGAAGUGCAUCGGAAACUGGGAAACUUGAGUGCAGAAGAGGACAGUGGAACUCCAUGUGUAGCGGUGAAAUGCGUAGAUAUAUGGAAGAACACCAGUGGCGGAGGCGGCUGUCUGGUCUGUAACUGACGCUGAGGCUCGAAAGCAUGGGUAGCGAACAGGAUUAGAUACCCUGGUAGUCCAUGCCGUAAACGAUGAAUGCUAGGUGUUGGAGGGUUUCCGCCCUUCAGUGCCGCAGCUAACGCAUUAAGCAUUCCGCCUGGGGAGUACGACCGCAAGGUUGAAACUCAAAGGAAUUGACGGGGGCCCGCACAAGCGGUGGAGCAUGUGGUUUAAUUCGAAGCAACGCGAAGAACCUUACCAGGUCUUGACAUCUUUUGAUCACCUGAGAGAUCAGGUUUCCCCUUCGGGGGCAAAAUGACAGGUGGUGCAUGGUUGUUGUCAGCUCGUGUCGUGAGAUGUUGGGUUAAGUCCCGCAACGAGCGCAACCCUUAUGACUAGUUGCCAGCAUUUAGUUGGGCACUCUAGUAAGACUGCCGGUGACAAACCGGAGGAAGGUGGGGAUGACGUCAAAUCAUCAUGCCCCUUAUGACCUGGGCUACACACGUGCUACAAUGGAUGGUACAACGAGUUGCGAGACCGCGAGGUCAAGCUAAUCUCUUAAAGCCAUUCUCAGUUCGGACUGUAGGCUGCAACUCGCCUACACGAAGUCGGAAUCGCUAGUAAUCGCGGAUCAGCACGCCGCGGUGAAUACGUUCCCGGGCCUUGUACACACCGCCCGUCACACCAUGAGAGUUUGUAACACCCGAAGCCGGUGGCGUAACCCUUUUAGGGAGCGAGCCGUCUAAGGUGGGACAAAUG
Molecule: ribosomal RNA, 1483 nt
Filed under: uncultured organism
Description: SSU rRNA
Rfam family: Bacterial small subunit ribosomal RNA
Source: RNAcentral